RNAcentral lists this ribosomal RNA (435 nucleotides) under uncultured bacterium. Its description in RNAcentral is "bacterial SSU rRNA". It matches the Rfam family "Bacterial small subunit ribosomal RNA", at positions 346 to 793 of the family's 1533-position model. The record is from RNAcentral.
AGGCAGCAGUGGGGAAUAUUGCGCAAUGGGCGGAAGCCUGACGCAGCGACGCCGCGUGAGGGAUGACUGCCUUCGGGUUGUAAACCUCUUUCAGCUCUGACUAAGCGAGAGUGACGGUAGGAGCAGAAGAAGCACCGGCCAACUACGUGCCAGCAGCCGCGGUAAUACGUAGGGUGCAAGCGUUGUCCGGAAUUAUUGGGCGUAAAGAGCUCGUAGGCGGUCUGUCGCGUCGAAUGUGAAAACCCGGGGCUCAACCCCGGGCCUGCAUUCGAUACGGGCAGACUAGAGUUCGGUAGGGGAGUCUGGAAUUCCUGGUGUAGCGGUGAAAUGCGCAGAUAUCAGGAGGAACACUGGUGGCGAAGGCGGGACUCUGGGCCGAUACUGACGCUGAGGAGCGAAAGCGUGGGGAGCAAACAGGAUUAGAUACCCUGGUAG